GGUGAGAUAGCUGAAUUUAUAGGCGAUAGGCUAUAAAUCUAUUUAUGGGAUCAUUCUCUCUCAUCA
This 66-nucleotide transfer RNA is filed under the name Prumna arctica. Its description in RNAcentral is "tRNA-Tyr". It matches the Rfam family "tRNA". From Rfam's summary of the family: Transfer RNA (tRNA) molecules are approximately 80 nucleotides in length. Their secondary structure includes four short double-helical elements and three loops (D, anti-codon, and T loops). Lineage: Eukaryota; Metazoa; Arthropoda; Insecta; Orthoptera; Acrididae. The record is from RNAcentral.